This 2680-nucleotide ribosomal RNA is filed under the name Clostridioides difficile. Its description in RNAcentral is "partial 23S ribosomal RNA". It matches the Rfam family "Bacterial large subunit ribosomal RNA". The record is from RNAcentral. Lineage: Bacteria; Bacillati; Bacillota; Clostridia; Peptostreptococcales; Peptostreptococcaceae.
GGUCAAGUUAUUAAGGGUGCAGGGCGGAUGCCUUGGCACUAGGAGCCGAUGAAGGACGUGAUAAGCUGCGAUAAGCUUCGGGGAGUUGCACGUAAACUUUGAUCCGAAGAUUUCCGAAUGAGGAAACUCACUUAGAGUAAUGUCUAAGUAUCAUUAAGUGAAUACAUAGCUUAAUGAGGGGAACUCAGGGAACUGAAACAUCUAAGUACCUGAAGGAAGAGAAAGAAAUUCGAUUCCGUAAGUAGCGGCGAGCGAACGCGGAUUAGCCCAAACCAAUAAAGUUUUCUUUAUUGGGGUUGCGGACAUAUCAUAACGAAGAGGUAUCGUAAUUGAAGAGGUUUGGAAAGACCCACCACAGAAGGUAAUAGUCCUGUAUGUUAAACGAGAAGACUUCAGAUAUGAUCCAGAGUACCACGGGACACGUGAAACCCUGUGGGAAGCAGGAGGGACCACCCUCCAAGGCUAAAUACUACCUAGUGACCGAUAGCGUAUAGUACCGUGAGGGAAAGGUGAAAAGAACCCCGGGAGGGGAGUGAAAUAGAACCUGAAACCCUGCACUUACAAGCUGUGGAAGCACAUUUCUUGUGUGACCGCGUACUUUUUGUAGAACGGGCCAACGAGUUACGUUAAGUAGCAAGGUUAAGCACUUAAGGUGUGGAGCCGUAGCGAAAGCGAGUUUUAACUGAGCGUUCAGUUACUUGACGUAGACCCGAAACCGGGCGACCUACCCAUGAGCAGGAUGAAGCGAAAGUAAAAUUUCGUGGAGGUCCGAACCCACGAGCGUUGAAAAGCUCGGGGAUGACUUGUGGGUAGCGGUGAAAUUCCAAUCGAGCCCGGAGAUAGCUGGUUCUCCCCGAAAUAGCUUUAGGGCUAGCCUCAAGGUGAGAGAUACGGAGGUAGAGCACUGAAUGUCCUAGGGGGUAUUGCACCUACCGAAGACUAUCAAACUCCGAAUGCCGUCAUCUUAUACUUGGGAGUCAGACUGUGGGUGAUAAGAUUCAUAGUCGAAAGGGCAACAGCCCAGAUCGUCAGCUAAGGUCCCUAAAUGUAAGUUAAGUGGUAAAGGAUGUGGGAUUGCACAGACAACCAGGAUGUUGGCUUAGAAGCAGCCACUCAUUCAAAGAGUGCGUAAUAGCUCACUGGUCGAGUGAUCCUGCGCCGAAGAUUUCCGGGGCUAAAACUUACUACCGAAGCUACGGCAUCAGUAAUGAUGGGUAGGGGAGCUUCCCAUACGGGUUGAAGCAUGACCGUAAGGACAUGUGGACAGUAUGGGAGUGAGAAUGUUGGCAUGAGUAGCGAGAUGUGGGUGAGAAUCCCACAGGCCGUAAACCCAAGGUUUCCAGGGGAAGGUUCGUCCGCCCUGGGUUAGUCGGGACCUAAGCUGAGGCCGAAAGGCGUAGGUGAUGGACAACAGGUUGAUAUUCCUGUACUACCGAUAACCGUUUGAGAGAAGGGAUGACACAGUAGGAUAAGCUAAGCACACUGUUGGUUAUGUGUGCCCAAGCAUUGAGGCAGUCAAAGUAGGCAAAUCCGCUUUGAUAAUGCUGGGAUGUGAUGGGGAGCGAAAUUUAGUAGCGAAGUAGCUGAUUUCACACUGUCAAGAAAAGUCUCUAUCGAGGUUAAAGGUACCCGUACCGCAAACCGACACAGGUGGGUGAGGAGAGUAUCCUAAGGCCAGCGAGAGAACUGUUGUUAAGGAACUCGGCAAAAUGACCCCGUAACUUAGGGAUAAGGGGUGCCACCAUCAGGUGGCCGCAGAGAAUAGGCCCAAGCGACUGUUUACCAAAAACAUAGGUUUCUGCUAAGUCGCAAGACGAUGUAUAGGAGCUGACGCCUGCCCGGUGCUGGAAGGUUAAGGGGAUCUGUUAGAGCAAUCGAAGCAGUGAACUUAAGCCCCAGUAAACGGCGGCCGUAACUAUAACGGUCCUAAGGUAGCGAAAUUCCUUGUCGGGUAAGUUCCGACCCGCACGAAAGGCGUAACGAUUUGGGCACUGUCUCAACAACAGACUCGGUGAAAUUGUAAUUCCGGUGAAGAUGCCGGAUACCUGCGACAGGACGGAAAGACCCCAUGGAGCUUUACUGUAGCUUGACAUUGGGUCUUGGUACUACAUGUACAGGAUAGGUGGGAGGCUUUGAAACCAGGACGCCAGUUUUGGCGGAGCCAUCCUUGGGAUACCACCCUUGUAGUACUGGGACUCUAACCAUAGGCCAUGAAUCUGGUCUUGGGACACUGUCAGGUGGGCAGUUUGACUGGGGCGGUCGCCUCCCAAAAGGUAACGGAGGCGCUCAAAGGUUCUCUCAGUACGGUCGGAAAUCGUACGUAGAGUGUAAAGGCAAAAGAGAGCUUGAUUGCAAGACAUACAGGUCGAGCAAGGAUGAAAAUCGGACUUAGUGAUCCGGUGGUUCUGCGUGGAAGGGCCAUCGCUCAACGGAUAAAAGCUACCCUGGGGAUAACAGGCUUAUCUCCCCCAAGAGUCCACAUCGACGGGGAGGUUUGGCACCUCGAUGUCGGCUCAUCACAUCCUGGGGCUGUAGUAGGUCCCAAGGGUUGGGCUGUUCGCCCAUUAAAGUGGUACGCGAGCUGGGUUCAGAACGUCGUGAGACAGUUCGGUCCCUAUCCGUCGCAGGCGUAGGAAAUUUGAGAAGACCUGUCCUUAGUACGAGAGGACCGGGAUGGACG